Molecule: ribosomal RNA, 961 nt
Filed under: Puiggariella nemathora
Lineage: Eukaryota; Fungi; Ascomycota; Dothideomycetes; Strigulales; Strigulaceae
Description: partial 28S large subunit ribosomal RNA
Rfam family: Eukaryotic large subunit ribosomal RNA
Source: RNAcentral
CCUCGGUGCCCGAGUUGUAAUUUGCAGAGGAUGCCUCGGUGCGUCCGCCGGCCCAGGUCCCUUGGAACAGGGCGCCGUGGAGGGUGAGAGCCCCGUAUCCGGCCGUGCGGGCGUGCCGUGUGAGGCUCCUUCGACGAGUCGAGUUGUUUGGGAAUGCAGCUCUAAGCGGGAGGUAAAUUUCUCCUAAGGCUAAAUACCGGCCAGAGUCCGAUAGCGCACAAGUAGAGUGAUCGAAAGAUGAAAAGCACUUUGGAAAGAGAGUCAAACAGCACGUGAAAUUGUUGAAAGGGAAGCGCUUGCGGCCAGACUCGCGGCGGCGGUUAGGUCGGGCGUCCCGCCCGGCUCAUUCCGCCGCGUCGGGCCAGCAUCGGUUCAGGCGGUCGGACAAAGGCCUGGGGAAUGUAGCUCCCUCGGGAGUGUUAUAGCCCCGGGUGCAAUGCGGCCUGCCUGGACCGAGGCUCGCGUUCUGCUAGGAUGCUGGCGUAAUGGCCRCAAGCGGGCCCGUCUUGAAACACGGACCAAGGAGUCGAGCAUCUGUGCGAGUGUUCGGGUGUCAAACCCGCGCGCGUAAUGAAAGUGAACGGAGGCGGGAGCCCUCGGGCGCACCGUCGACCGAUCCUGAUGUCUUCGGAUGGAUUUGAGUAAGAGCACAGCUGUCCGGACCCGAAAGAUGGUGAACUUUGCGUAAACAGGGCGAAGCCAGAGGAAACUCUGGUGGAGGCUCGCAGCGGUUCUGACGUGCAAAUCGAUCGUCAAAUUCGCGCAAAGGGGCGAAAGACUUAUCGAACCGUCUAGUAGCUGGUUCCUGCCGAAGUUUCCCUCAGGAUAGCAGCAACGUUUCCAGUUUUAUGAGGUAAAGCGAAUGAUUAGAGGCCUGGGGGUUGAAACAACCUUCACCUAUUCUCAAACUUUAAAUAUGUAAGAAGCCCUUGUCGCUUAAUUGGACGUGGGCGUUCGAAUG